GGGGGGGGCGGGGGGCGGGGCGGGUGGGGGCGGGUCGGGCGGCGAGGUGGGGGGCUGGCUCCGCUGACGUUCGCGGCGGACGGGUGCGUAGCCCGUGGAUAGCCUGCCUAUCAGACUGGGAUGACUUCGGAAAACCGGGUCUACUACCGGCUACUGUAUUGCACCGCAUGGUUCACUAGUGAAAGCCGGUUGUGCUGGCACUUGUAGAUGACUCCGCGCCGCAUUAGCUAGUUGGUAAGGUAACGGCUUACCAAGGCAACGCUGCGUAGCCGACCUGAGAGGGUGAUCGGCCACCCUGGAACUGAGACACGGUCCAGACUCCUACGGGAGGCAGCAGUAGGGAAUCUUCCGCAAUGGGCGAAAGCCUGACGGAGCAACGCCGCGUGAGUGAUGAAGGUCUUCGGAUCGUAAAACUCUGUUAUUAGGGAAGAACAAAUGUGUAAGUAACUAUGCACGUCUUGACGGUACCUAAUCAGAAAGCCACGGCUAACUACGUG
Molecule: ribosomal RNA, 497 nt
Filed under: uncultured bacterium
Lineage: Bacteria
Description: partial 16S ribosomal RNA
Rfam family: Bacterial small subunit ribosomal RNA
Source: RNAcentral